Molecule: ribosomal RNA, 252 nt
Filed under: uncultured bacterium
Lineage: Bacteria
Description: partial 16S ribosomal RNA
Rfam family: Bacterial small subunit ribosomal RNA
Source: RNAcentral
UACGUAGGGUGCAAGCGUUGUCCGGAAUUAUUGGGCGUAAAGAGCUCGUAGGCGGUCUGUCGCGUCGGCUGUGAAAACCCGGAGCUCAACUCCGGGCCUGCAGUCGAUACGGGCAGACUGGAGUUCGGCAGGGGAGACUGGAAUUCCUGGUGUAGCGGUGAAAUGCGCAGAUAUCAGGAGGAACACCGGUGCGAAGGCGGGUCUCUGGGCCGAUACUGACGCUGAGGAGCGAAAGCGUGGGGAGCGAACAGG